Long non-coding RNA from Acanthochromis polyacanthus (spiny chromis), 7888 nucleotides. RefSeq lists it as uncharacterized. Lineage: Eukaryota; Metazoa; Chordata; Actinopteri; Pomacentridae. The record is from RefSeq and is a predicted model, not a curated record. The transcript is spliced from 3 exons.
GGGUGGGGGCAGAGACAGGAGAAGCAAAAGGGUAUGAACUAAGCAAGUAGGAGUGGAGAUAGAAGGAGAGAGUGGGAGACAGAGGCACAGGCAGAGAAGGACAAAUAUAGAGAGAAUGGGAGCAUGGGGGGGUAAAGGAGGGAGGGAAAUGAGGGAAACAGAGUGGGAGAGAGAGACAGACAGGAGGAGGAGGGAGGGAAGAGGGAUGCUGCAUUUUAGUGAUAGCACAGACUGAGGCUGCAGCAGCAGACAGAGCGAUGAGAGAGGUAGAAAUUAAAAGAGAGGAUUGUCAGACAGAGCACGACAGGAUUCCCACAGACCAUCACAAGCGUGUUCUUGAAGAGCCAGCAGCAAGGGUUCAAGAGAGGAGGAGAAAAAAGGAGCAAACUUGUGACCUCAGCAAGGGGAAAGACACUUCUCCAGUAAGAAGAGGAGAAAACAAUCCACCUGUGAUCAAACUAAGACUAUUAGCAACAGCAAGAUCCCAGAGAGAAACAUCAGAAAGAGUAACUCUGUCUUCCCUUUUUGUUGUCUCUCUGCUUGACUGUCUAUCCACAGGCUGUCCUUCUGUCUGUCUCAGCAGGAUGCAAAGGCAUCAUUUUAGUGCCUGGGAUGGAAAGAAAUGCUGAACGAAUCCUGAAGGGUUGUUAGAGAGAGAGAGAGAGAGACGAAGCAAGAAAAAAAGGAGGAACAGAGGAACAUUUGCAAGCUUCUGGAAGGAAAAGGGAGGAGAAAGCAGUAUGACUCAGAGCACAGCAGCUAGGAUACUGUGUAUUCUGCAUGCAAGAGGAGAGGCAGAGGGAGACAGAGGAACACUGAAGAAGAUAUAAGGAGAAAAAUAAAGAGGACUUGACCAGAAUUGAGUCGUCAUUAGACAGAAGAAGGACAGGAUGAAGACAAGCAACCACACUGGCAGGCAGUGAGUGAGAUAUAGGCCGAGUGAAUCAGCUUGCUAGGGGGAGAGGAAGGCAAGAAGAGUUUAGAAAGUGGAGGGUUUAGUAUGACUGAAGCCAGUCGAGGGAAGGUUGAAUGAAGGUUUUCUGCAGGGCGGAGAGCGGGAGAAGAACUGCAAAGGACAGAGUUAAUGAAAAAUAGUUUGAACUCCUACAGAGGAGAAUGUCCUGAGUGACUGCCUCUUGCCACAGGGAGAGAACAUGACUGAGCUUUGCAUGGGGGAGAAGAAGCUUCAAGAAGGUUGAACACAGGAAAGGAAGAAAACGUUAGAAAGUACAAAGGUUAAAAAGAGACCUAGAAGUAGAGUAUAAAGACAAGGAGCAAAUUAGGCUAGAUCAGAGCAAAGAUUUAACAUUCAAGCAAAAAAGGCAAGGUCUAAGAAGAACAGAAAAGAGAAACGCUGCACAUUCAGAACAUGGCAUCCAACGCGCAACGAUGGGGAACAUGAAAACUUUAACUGUGACGAUAACACGGCAAGAGGUUCCUGUUAAAUAUUGAUGCUGACAGGCCACUCUGGAAAGAACUUGCUCCUUGUACCACAGAGGGAGAAACAGAAGAAACGCAGCUGCUUUUUUAUUCUGAGGAUUUUUACACCGGAAUAGACAAGCUGUUAAAUGUGUCAGAUGAUGGCUGAGAGUGGUGAAGUAGAGAUGUUGGCUCAAAUUAAGACCAGACCUACAAAUUAGCCGACCCCGGGCUUCCUGGAGGUUUUUUUGGACAGCUGUGCAACUUCUCGGGGAGAGUGGAAUUACUAUAGACAGAAGCACUGGACCCUUUAUGUUGCGUGCAAACUGCACAGAGGAAAGCGAUCUGUAUUUGAGAGAAAUGACUGAGACCUCCUGAAGAAAUCUGUUCUAUUGAAAAGAAGAAUACAGAUGUAUGUUUUGGAUUGACAGCCACUCUGCAGCACUGCCACAUGAGAAAAGUCGCUGCUGAAGCAUACAUGUUAUUUUCAUCCUGGACUGAUUGGAGCCGUUUCAAGCCACAGAAAAUGGCCUCAUUACAGAGAUUUGGCCAGUGGAGGACUGCUUGAGGAGAUAUGUGUGGAGAUUCUUUGAUGAAGAACUGGAGGCAGGAUGCUUACUUUGUUUUUGCUUCUGGGACUCAAUAAAGUCAUGAUGGGUCUUUCCGUGAAGGCAUCACGUUAGGAGCUGCCUUCUCUCCGACCUCAAUCACCGAUUCCUCAAAGAUCAAAACAAUAACGUAGGAAGACACAAUGGCACGGUCUCCAUCCAGCUGCCGAUAGACCAGCUGUGUGUUUAUGUGGGGCAGCGUGGGGGUGCAAGGACUGUCGAGGAGCUCAGCUGUGUUUGCACAGAUGCUUGUGUGGGUGUGGAUGCAGAGGUGUGUGUGUGUAUGUGUGUGUGUGCACUGAGCUUUGAACCCAGCUGUAUCUGAGUGUAUUUUCAAAGAGUCAUCAAGCGCUGUGUGUGUGUCUGUGUGUGUGUGUGUGUUGCCUGGAUUUUCCCCACCAGCGACAGAGCUGGACCUGAGCAGCAGCACUAAGAGGGGGGACAGGGAGGGGGAGGAAGAGGCGGAGGAGAGGAGGAAGAAGGAGGCGAAAGGAACCAGCAGGACGGAGGAGAAGAAAAAACUGACAACAUGCUUGGAUAAAGAGAAGAAAGAAAAGAGUCUUUGGCUGCCCCCCUGGUGCAAUGUGUGGCGUCGCGCCCUGUGGGAGUGGGGUUCUGUGAUGGUAACCAUGGUCCCCGGCAGCCGCUAUGUUUGCAGCGCUCACGCAAGAGAGGAAGACUCCACGAAUGACCGUGAGGAGCGAAUUUUAGCCGUGCUGGGCAUCAUCGGGACCAUCCUCAAUCUUCUGGUGGUCAUAUUUGUCUACAUCUACACUUCAGUCACAUAAGGAUUUCUGCAAGAUCCAACAACAAGACACGGUGGCUCCAACCCAACUUUUGCUCACACUGCCACUGCCCUCUUUAAGUAUUUAUGUUCUUCAAGGGUUUGAUUUUUUCUCAAAGUAAGCACAAAGAUGUGAGGAUCAUUGGCAGUGUGUUCAGCUGGAUUGUAGCCAUAUUUAUCUACACCUGAUUCACUGCUUAUCCCUCAAGACAGCUUUGCUCUCUUACCUAAAGAUUGCUGCCAAUUACAGAGUUGGGGCUUAUUGGGGGAACCAUCCGGACUUCCCUGUUUAUGUUAAACUGCAUCACUUUUCAACACAGACUCACAUAUGCAUAUUCCAAAUGGCUGCUGACACUGUGUCCAGUCUGGUAACAGUCAUGCAUCUGAUUUCAUAUUGAUCUGUAACUGUGGAAUAACAUUUUCUGUGGCUUCUUCAACUGCUCGAAUGGAGCUUUUGAUUUCAUGGUGACUGUGCUGCAUCUUCCACUAGUGUGUGGUUUCUGCUUUUUUGUGAGAUUUUAGAUAUCACUGCCAGUUAAAUAUAUACAUUAAAGGUUGGACAAGCAGAAAAACUUUGCAUUGACUUGACCAAAUUAGUACAUCAGGAAGGGGGGUACACUAUUAAAACUACUAAUAUGGACCAAAAUUGCCAAAUGAGAUAGCACAAUUAUCAAAACUGGGACCCUAAGUACUUGAACAGAACAUUGGUAUAGACGUUGAGAUAAUCACAUGUCCUCGCUGCUAAAUCCUAGUUUCUGUAGUCAGUAGAAUCCUUGAAAGGGUUUUACAUGGACCUAACGUGUCCAUACUUGAGCACACCAGAGGAGAGAUUCCUGGCAGUGCUAGGAGUCAUCGGUAUAGUCCUUAACCUCCUGCUGCUCAUUUUCGUCUACAUAUACACCUCCAUUUGAUCUGAGGCGUCCAGAAAAAAGCUGCUUAAUGCCAAUGCUCUUCUCCAUGUGGGAGGUUUCUACACCUAACAGCAGCCUAGUGUAUCAGUGAUCGUAUCAUGCAGAGACUAUACAUUUUUUAGCCACACUUGUGUAUAUAUAUAUUCUGAGCACACCAUGAUUCUCAUGUGACCACUGUGUUACUCUGGGCAGGUUUCUGGCCUUUGUUAACACAAUGACACUUAAACAGUAUGGUGAACAGAGGGCGAUGAAUGAAUUCAAGGUAGAAGCAGCAAACUGGUUCAUUUUAUAAAUACAUUUCAAAUUCACCGUUUCCAUGGAUAUUUGUGGCCUACAGUUGGUGUUCUUCUAAUAGAAUUAGUGUCAUAUAAUACAGUACUCUCCCAUAUGUGUGCAUCAUAAGAUGUUAAUUGAUGCUUAUAUUAUAAUAAUGAAAUGUUCUCUAUCACGCUUUGACUAAAAUAACUGUUGUAAAGACUGCCAUCUCUGUAGUGAUUCUGUUCUACAUGCUUAUUUCUACUGAAAACAUCAAGUCAUGGAACUGGACAUUUCAGUCUGUGCAGAAGCUCUGCACAUCAGCAAAGAUCCCUCUGUGUAUAGUUGGUCCCACAGAAUAAUGGUGUUUUUUCUGCUGCCAUGUUUCAGUGAUUAUAUGUGGAAACCAGGCACAGAGCAGCGGCAGAGUGGGCAAAGCGUGAAACUGAGACAAUGUCACACAAAUCAAAACAGAGCUCUUUUGCAGUGUAUCACAAAGGCCUACAGCAGUGGCAAAGAAAUCAGGGAGAACCCGUGUGGAUUGUCUGAAAGAAGUGGACAUAAAACCGUUCUACAAAGCCUCAAUGUCUGUCUUGAAACUCACGAAGGCACAACAAACUCCCCGGGAUUUGGUUACAACAUGUUCACCGGAGCUGCAUGUAACUAUGGAUAUGACUUUAGGUUGAAGCACUCCGUCUCUAAUGGAGAAAUAAACCCGAACACAGCUGAAACUGGCCUGAAUCUACACUUGAUCCUUGUCAUUCUCUUCUCCACCAACAAGCUAACGCCAGAGAAGACAUAGUGACACACGGGUCUCUGCUGUCAUCUCACAUAUAGCACAGGAACAGUUUGUACUCUAAAAUUAAUGACCAGCGAGGCUGACACUUAACCUUCUGCAGUUUUACAUGUUGGCUUGUGUGAAAAAUUGUUUGACAUUUUGAUAAUUAUCGCAUAUGAUUCCUUGUUACAGUGUGUUUGUAUGCUCUUAGUUUUAGCACCAGUUUAUCACAGAGUGUUUGGUUUGCAAGAAAAUCCAAAAGUCACAAUCAGUACAUUGGAAAAUGUUUGUGACGAAAUAUGUAUGGAUGAGCACAGUCUAUUUUUAUAAAUUGUAGAAGGUUCAGAUAAAUGUGCUCAUGGUUUUGAAAUUGUGGAUUAAUGAAAUAAUGAGAUUUUACACACAAAAAAUUAUAAACUAUAAGCUGCAUUGCUGGGUUCAAAAAGCAGAAUUGCAUCUAAAAGUUCUACAUUUCUGUUACCUGUAAUACACAAGAAACUUGCAUAAGCUGCUCAGUCACAUAGACACACUUAUGCAUGCUCAUUUUUCUGAUCUUUAGGACCCUCACUGACAAACUGACCUUAACCACCAAGUUCCUAAUUCAGUCUUUGUCACCUCAAUCUGGCUAAACUGGAGCCUUGUUUACAACCUGUUUAAUCAUCUCACAGGUCUUGUUUCUUGCCCUGUUCAAUAUAAUCAAUGGAAUCAAUGACCCAGCUAUGAUGAUAGAACUUAAAUUGUAAUACACCAUAUUUCUUUUUUAUAUUCAUAUCUUCAGGCCUUCCAAGAACUAGGAACAAACCAAAAAGUCUUCACUUUCAGAACAAGAAAAAAUCUCCGCUUAGACCUAAAACUCAAGUUGGUCCUCACAAAGCUAGAAAUGUAGCCGCUCACACACUCGCUGCUUGAAUCUCCCUUCAUGAGUUUAAUUUUACACCGUCUUUUCAGCACACAUCAGGAGAUUCGGCCGUGAGCAUACCGAGAUCGAUGUGACUUGCACAUUUACCUCCUGUCACAUCUAAUAACUUUACAGUGGAGUUUGUUGAGUUGAAUCCAUGUUAAGUGUGCACCAAAGCACAGUCUGAGCCACCUUGGGUUUGCCAGACAUCUGCUGUCACACUGUGACAGUCGAAGCUGCGGCUCUGCAGAAAUACACAUGAACAGACUUUGAAGUACCUAAAAAUGUACCGGAGAUAUUUUUUGAUCUGAGGUAUCUCUGGAAGGUCACUUGAUGUUUGUGAACAAACAUAACAAACACAUAUGCUGCUACCUAUUUGGACAACGGUUUUACAGUACUGCUUUCUAAUCAAGGACUGAGAGUUAAAUUAUUCACCAAUACGUGCAAAAUUGGUUAGAAGCCAUAUAUAAGGAAAACCUUUUGGUCUCCUGGUACGCUUUAUUGUCGCUUUGUAGCAAGCCAUAUUUUAUAAUAGCUAAAACUGCUAUAUUACCAUUUUCUGAUGCUACAUGGUUAGAGUAUUAACAGAUUAGCAUUGAUAAAGUAAUUACCAAUUUUAUAACUAUAUUAUUAUCACAGAAAAACAAUCAGGGUUUUAAACAAAGUGGCAAUCAUUGAAAAGAUCAAAGUGUUUCUGAUGAAGUUGUCUAACUGCUCUGUUAAACGACUCAUUAACUAUUAUUACAGUCAUUGGUUACGUCUUAUAAACCCCCUCUGAAGAAGCCUUAAAUUGAAUGUUUCAGGCUCCUCAUUUUAGUGAGCGUUUUCAAUUAUGCUAAAAACUAGCAAUUCAGACUGAAACAAGUAAAAAACAUUUAUUUUAAGACAAUAUUUAACCUUUCAUGGCCAGAACAGUUUUAUACCAGCUGCAAAAGUCAUUAAGACCAUAACGGGAUCCAUUGGACCCACCUAAAUCUGGCGAUGGUUACAUGGUGUAUUAAGACUAGAUGAAAAGUAUAAUUAGAAAAACAUAUUUUUUUAAAAGAUUUCUAAACAGCACUAACUGACAUCAGUUAGAAAAAGGCUAAGGUUUUGGAUUCGAUGGCUUUUGAUAAGUCGACUGAACAAUGUGGUUGCAGUACCUGAGCUUUGUCUUUUAUGUGUUUUUGGUUUUCGGUUGAGAACUGUUUUAACACGCUUACUGCUAAGAGGACCAAUGAGAGGAGAGAGCCUUGAGGGUGAAUCCCGGCCAUCUGCUGUCCCAACAGACCUCCUCAGUGUACACACACACAUACACACACAAACACACAAACACAGUAAGCAUGAGCAUCUACUUUUUAACAAAGCAGCUCAUACUCUAACUCAAUAUCGAUUUUUUUCUCUACUGGAGAAGGGAAUAGUUUUCACUGCCAGAGGAAAACAAGUGGGACUCCUGACCAGUGCCUGACUGUUAAAUCGAAACACUGAGAGGAAAAUGAGUCUGGAUUCAACACUGCUCAUUCUGUGUGCGAGCCAGUCUGUUCAGCCAAAGCAAAGACUGACUCUCGUGUUUUUUUAUGACGUGCGAGCCGAAUUGAUUUUUUGAGCGCACUGGACACAAGCUGCCUGAGACUAGACAAGAGAAAACAAUGUGGAGGGAUUAUUUUAAUGUUAUUUCAGAGCAACAAAGCUGAAUAAUAGCUGAGCUACCUUAGAAUUUGGCAACAAAAUAAGUGCCUUGGGCAUAACAGAUUCCAGCUUCACAGUAUUUUCUACAGCACAAUUCCACUGAGAGGAAAAUAAAGGCUGAGAAAGGUCCUGGCAUGCAUGAAAAAUGUGUGUUUGUUUCACUUAGCACUUUUCAUUUAACUGUAAAUUAUUUUCUGAGCAGGCAGCACCGGCGAUUCACAAAACAGGUGUCAGAAAAACUGAGAAAUAAUCUAUUAGCCAAAGUAUUGUGUGAAACGCUGACAGCAGUUGCUGCUGCUGUGCAAACAAACUCUAGAAGCGAAGUGUUGAGAGCAACUACCUGCUGUUUCUUGUUGCUUCUAUUGUAAGCUAGACUGUCAAAUGAAAGUAACCGUGUCUGCCAGAAUUCAUAGCACUGAGUCAAUUUCUGAUGAAGCUGAUAAAAGGUUUGAUACAAUUCUUGAGAAUUACUACUGAAAAUAUGUUUUGAGAUCUGGUGUACUUUAUGUAAUGUUUAUAUGUAUAGUUAUAGAAAUGUCAAUAAAAAUGAAAACCGCCACUUUCAAA